Molecule: unclassified non-coding RNA, 244 nt
Filed under: Hevea brasiliensis (rubber tree)
Lineage: Eukaryota; Viridiplantae; Streptophyta; Magnoliopsida; Malpighiales; Euphorbiaceae
Source: RNAcentral
CAGGGAGGUGGUUCCUGUGACCAUGGUGGGGUAGGUGUUGCAGCAGAAACUAAUACCAAUGUCAAAUCCAGGAAGAGGAAACCGAGAUCUAAGAGAAGGAGAAAAAUUGAAGAUAAUGCUCUGAGCAAGCCGGUUGGCUGUGAUGGUAACGUUGUAGGUGCAAGUGGACUGGUGGCCCCCUCCAAUGGGUUGGAAAAAGAACAACUCGAUGGCAUCCCAACUAAGAGUCUUGAGCAAGUUCGGG